GAUGAACGCUGGCGGCAGGCUUAAUACAUGCAAGUCGAACGGUAACAUGUCGGAGCAAUCUGAUGAUGACGAGUGGCGCACGGGUGCGUAACGCGUAUGCAACCUACCCAUAACCGGGACAUAACGUUGAGAAAUCGGCGCUAAUAUUCCAUGUGUAUAUUUUGUGGCAUCAUAGAAUAUAUAAAGAUUAAUUGGUUAUGGAUGGGCAUGCGUAUCAUUAGCUAGUUGGUGGGGUAACGGCCUACCAAGGCUGCGAUGAUUAGGGGUUCUGAGAGGAUAACCCCCCACACUGGAACUGAGACACGGUCCAGACUCCUACGGGAGGCAGCAGUAGGGAAUAUUGGGCAAUGGAGGCAACUCUGACCCAGCCAUGCCGCGUGAAGGAGACGGUCCUAUGGAUUGUAAACUUUCUUUUAUCAUAGAGUAACCGCAGGGACUGUCCCUGCCUGCAAGUAUAUGAUGAAUAGC
Molecule: ribosomal RNA, 468 nt
Filed under: uncultured bacterium
Lineage: Bacteria
Description: bacterial SSU rRNA
Rfam family: Bacterial small subunit ribosomal RNA
Source: RNAcentral